Molecule: ribosomal RNA, 448 nt
Filed under: uncultured bacterium
Lineage: Bacteria
Description: partial 16S ribosomal RNA
Rfam family: Bacterial small subunit ribosomal RNA
Source: RNAcentral
ACCAGACUCCUACGGGAGGCAGCAGUGGGGAAUAUUGCACAAUGGGGGAAACCCUGAUGCAGCGACGCCGCGUGAAGGAAGAAGUAUUUCGGUAUGUAAACUUCUAUCAGCAGGGAAGAAAAUGACGGUACCUGACUAAGAAGCCCCGGCUAACUACGUGCCAGCAGCCGCGGUAAUACGUAGGGGGCAAGCGUUAUCCGGAUUUACUGGGUGUAAAGGGAGCGUAGACGGCUGCGCAAGUCAGAAGUGAAAGACCGGGGCGCAACCGCGGGACUGCUUUUGAAACUGUGUAGCUAGAGUGCAGGAGAGGUAAGUGGAAUUCCUAGUGUAGCGGUGAAAUGCGUAGAUAUUAGGAGGAACACCGGUGGCGAAGGCGGCUUACUGGACUGUAACUGACGUUGAGGCUCGAAAGCGUGGGGAGCAAACAGGAUUAGAUACCCCAGUAAUA